Coturnix japonica (Japanese quail) is the source of this 1972-nucleotide long non-coding RNA. The record is from Ensembl. NCBI's taxonomy places the organism in Eukaryota, Metazoa, Chordata, Aves, Galliformes, Phasianidae.
UCCUCCCCCGUGAGACCAAUCGGCUGGGGAUUGUGGGUGNNNNNNNNNNNNNNNNNNNNNNNNNCCAAAAUUGGACUUUUUUGACCCAAAAUUGAACUUUUUGGUCCCAAAACUGGUGGUUUUUGGGCCUAAAUUUGGACUUUUUGGGCCUAAAAUUGGACUUUUUCGUCCCAAAAUUGGACUUUUUAGCCCCAAAAUUGGCCAUUUCAGCCCCAAAUUUCGCCAUUUUGGGCCCAGAAUUCCACAUUUUUUACCCCAAAGUGAGACUUUUUAGCCUCAAAAUUGGACAUUUUUGACCCAAAAUUGGACUUUUUUGACCCAAAACGUUCCUUUUUAGCCCCAAAAUCUGCUAUUUUGGCUCAUUUUUGACCCAAAAAGGGACUUUUUAGCCCCAAAAUUGGACAUUUUUGGCUCCAAAUCCAACAUUUUUGGCCCAAAUUUGGACUUUUUUGACCCAAAAUCGGCGUUUUUAGCCCCAAAAUGGUGCUUUGAAGUGGGAUUGAAAUAAAGGCUGUAAUAAAUGGGCGGAUUUUGGGCUGAAUUCGGCGGAUUUUGGUUAAUAAUGGCGGCUCGUGGGCGGGAUUUGGGGUCGGAUCUCGCGAGAUUUGGGGCUCGGUUGAAAACGGGGCGAAUUUGGGUCAUUUUGGGUCGAUUUGGGGCUUUUUGGUUAUUUCGCCUUCUCAUUGGGCGAGCCGCGCGUCCAUCACUCUGAGCCCCGCCUCUUCCUCCCCGUGAACCAAUCGCGGAUUGUGGGUGGGUUCAUUGCCGUGCUCUGAGCGCUCCCAUUGGCUGAGCGCUCUUCUGCCGCGCUCCUAUUGGCUGAGAAGCCGGUUUCCGGUUCCGGUGGGAGUCAGGAGCAAGAUGGCGGCUGUCGGGGAGGCCGUGACGCUGUUGAAGGAGCUUCGAGAGGAGGGCAUUUCGUUGCUGGGGGUGCGGGCGGCCGCCAUCUUGAAUUACGUCACCGACCUCGGCCUCGUGCUGAGAGCCAAGAGCGGGGGGAGGAGCUUGAGGGAAGAGCCCGCGUUGCCACGGAUACUGGAGAGCCGCGUGGUGAUUGGACGACGGGCGGGCAGGGGGCGGGACUUCAGGGGGAGGCGCGCUGUGAUUGGGCGAGGGAAAGGGGAAGGGGCGGGGCUUGCUGUGAUUGACGUGGCUUAAAGAGGAGUCGCAUGAUUGGACGGGGGGCGGGAGUUAAGGGGGAGGCGCGCUGUGAUUGGAUGGGGGAGAUAAAGGAGGGCGGGACUUAAGGGGGAGGCGCGCUGCGAUUGGACGAAGGGAAGGGAGGGGGCGGGGCUUGCUGUGAUUGACGUGGCUUAAGGGGAAGCCGCGUGGUGAUUGGGAGGGGGCGGGACUUAAGGGGGAGGCGCGUUGUGAUUGGCUGAAGGAUAAGUAGGGGGCGGGGCUUGCUGUGAUUGACAUUGCUAAAGGAGGAGCCGUGUGCUGAUUGGACGGGGAGAUAAAGGAGGGCGGGGAUUAAGGGGGGCGAGCUGUGAUUGGGUGAGGGGGUGGGAGUGGGCGGGGCUUGGUGUGAUUGACGUAGGGGGUGGGAGGUGGGCGGGGCUUAAGGGGGAGCCGCGUGGUGAUUGGAUGAGGGGGGUGUGACUGGGGAGGGGCCUAGUGUGAUUGACAGCAACACAGCGAGCUGCGUUGUGAUUGGAUGAGGGGCUGGGAGGGGGGCGGGGCUUGAUUUGAUUGACAUAGCUCUAUUGGUUUCUAUUGGGGGAGGUAGGGGGGGACCUAAUUAGCAUACAUUUGCAUAAGGUGCUGGAGAAGCUCCGCCCCCUGGAGCAGCGAAUCCGGUACCAGGUGGACAAACUGAUCCGGGCCGAUGGAACGACGGGUUUGAGCCAAAAUCCGACUUUUUAGCCCCAAAAUGCCCCUUUCUGACCCCAAAAACCCCCUUUUUCACCCCAAAAUGGCCAUUUCUGACCCCAAAAACCCCUUUUUAGCCCCAAAAUGGCCAUUUCUGACC